GAUGAUGUUCACCGAGCUGUAGAU
RNAcentral lists this non-coding RNA (24 nucleotides) under Cricetulus griseus (Chinese hamster). The record is from RNAcentral. Lineage: Eukaryota; Metazoa; Chordata; Mammalia; Rodentia; Cricetidae.